CAGUAGCCGCGGGAACACGGAGGGUGCAAGCGUUAAUCGGAAUUACUGGGCGUAAAGCGUGCGUAGGCGGUUCGUUAAGUCUGUUGUGAAGGCCCCGGGCUCAACCUGGGAAUGGCAAUGGAUACUGGCGAGCUAGAGUGUGUCAGAGGAUGGUGGAAUUCCCGGUGUAGCGGUGAAAUGCGUAGAGAUCGGGAGGAACAUCAGUGGCGAAGGCGGCCAUCUGGGACAACACUGACGCUGAGGCACGAAAGCGUGGGGAGCAAACAGGAUUAGAUACCCCUGUAGUCCCUGUCUCUUAUAC
Molecule: ribosomal RNA, 301 nt
Filed under: uncultured bacterium
Lineage: Bacteria
Description: partial 16S ribosomal RNA
Rfam family: Bacterial small subunit ribosomal RNA
Source: RNAcentral